UAAUACGGAGGGUGCAAGCGUUAAUCGGAAUUACUGGGCGUAAAGCGCACGCAGGCGGUUUGUUAAGUCAGAUGUGAAAUCCCCGGGCUCAACCUGGGAACUGCAUCUGAUACUGGCAAGCUUGAGUCUCGUAGAGGGGGGUAGAAUUCCAGGUGUAGCGGUGAAAUGCGUAGAGAUCUGGAGGAAUACCGGUGGCGAAGGCGGCCCCCUGGACGAAGACUGACGCUCAGGUGCGAAAGCGUGGGGAGCAAACAGG
This 256-nucleotide ribosomal RNA is filed under the name uncultured archaeon. RNAcentral describes it as "partial 16S ribosomal RNA". It matches the Rfam family "Bacterial small subunit ribosomal RNA", at positions 521 to 776 of the family's 1533-position model. The record is from RNAcentral.